This 741-nucleotide long non-coding RNA is filed under the name Trifolium pratense (red clover). RNAcentral's name for it is "long non-coding RNA (TPRA_LNC010372)". The record is from RNAcentral. Lineage: Eukaryota; Viridiplantae; Streptophyta; Magnoliopsida; Fabales; Fabaceae.
AAUCAAAAAGUACAACAAACACCACCCCAAUCCACCCCUUACAAUACAUCAAAUAAAAUUCAACAAUGACCCACUAUCGUUUAUCCCCCAACCUAAAACCAUAAUGUAGUUAUAUUAGUAAAAUAUAAGAACAUUCAUUUGAUGCGUUGAGUGUAAGUUAGAUGUGUUAAGUUAUACUGCAUGGAAAAUAAAUGUUGAGUAACAUGUUAGUGAGAAGGUUUAUAAGUAACAUGUUAGUGAAAUAGUUAAUGUUUUGAAAUUUGAAGUGAAAACGUGUUGUUUAAACUACUUAUGUGAUUACUCUCAUUCUAAUGUGAUUACUCCCAAUGUUUUUGGCUCGAGUUCUAAGAAUGGUAUCACAACCUAGUUCAAUUGAGUGAGACAAAAAGAGUCGAUCAUGUUGUUGAGUUAAUGUGGAGAGUCUCACACGAGAGUACGAGACAAAUAUUUUGAUGCAGAGCCUUGUAUGAACCGGGAAAGGCAACGACCAUCCAUUAUUUAUUUUUUGGAGUGAAGUAUUCUUUUUUGACAGGUGGCUUAGUGACUAAAAAUUUCACCCUUAAGGUGGAUAAGUGAAGUGUCCGCGGUUCAAAUCUUGACCUCUGCAUAUAAAAUGCGAUGUUCCUUACCAACUAAGACAAGCUCAUGGGGAUGAGUAAAGAUUUAUUUUGGUCCUCGAAAUAUUUUGACGCAAUUGCAGAGACCAACCCUCUCGAGACUAAUCCCCUCGAGAUAACUGAG